RNAcentral lists this unclassified non-coding RNA (239 nucleotides) under Glomeraceae sp. RNAcentral's name for it is "partial contains 5.8S ribosomal RNA and internal transcribed spacer 2". The stretch from base 1 to 71 matches the Rfam family "5.8S ribosomal RNA", at positions 84 to 154 of the family's 154-position model. Lineage: Eukaryota; Fungi; Glomeromycota; Glomeromycetes; Glomerales; Glomeraceae. The record is from RNAcentral.
GUGAAUCAUCGAAUUUUUGAACGCAAAUUGCGCUUCUUGGCAUCCCGGGAAGUAUGCCUGUUUGAGGGUCAGUAUUACCAAAAAAUCGUUUUGGUUGGAAGUUGUGACGGUUCUGGAGUUUGGGCUAUCUUAACUUUUUUGGUUAAGGUGCUUAAAAUUGAUCUUAUUUUCGUAUUUUUAGACGUACAUAAAUUUUUUUUUUUUAUUCGUUUAUUCUUAUUGUUAUAAUCUUAUUAUAA